This 355-nucleotide unclassified non-coding RNA is filed under the name soil metagenome. RNAcentral describes it as "partial contains 5.8S ribosomal RNA, internal transcribed spacer 2, and large subunit ribosomal RNA". The stretch from base 1 to 120 matches the Rfam family "5.8S ribosomal RNA", at positions 35 to 154 of the family's 154-position model. The record is from RNAcentral.
GAUGAAGAACGUAGCGAAAUGCGAUAAGUAAUGUGAAUUGCAGAAUUCAGUGAAUCAUCGAAUCUUUGAACGCACAUUGCGCCAAUUAGUAUUCUAGUGGGCAUGCCUGUUCGAGCGUCAUUAAGUCCACUUAAGCCCUGCUUAGUGUUGGGAGACUGCUCCAGCGGUGCUACCCUGUAGCUACCCUGCAGCUCCUCAAAGACAGCGGCGGAGUUGUGGUAUCCUCUGAGCUUAGUAACUUGUUCUAGCUUUCGAGUACACCACUUCCCCUGCCGUAAAACCCUUAAUUUUUAAUGGUUGACCUCGGAUCAGGUAGGAAUACCCGCUGAACUUAAGCAUAUCAAUAAGCGGAGGA